UGAAGUAAGUAGCUUCCUCUGGAGC
This 25-nucleotide non-coding RNA is filed under the name Cricetulus griseus (Chinese hamster). Lineage: Eukaryota; Metazoa; Chordata; Mammalia; Rodentia; Cricetidae. The record is from RNAcentral.